CGACGCGCCAGGCAGGUAGCUGGCCCUGGGUGAUUGACGCUCCAUGCAUCCUUCUGGGCUCCACCAGCGACCCCUUGGUCUCUGGGCCAUGCAGCGACCAGGCUGCAGGGCUCCUACCAGACCUUCCUCAAGAGCCCUAGGCAAUUAGAGCCAAAGCCACCGCCACCCCCACUUCUAUUAAAUGUCAAGGGGAAGAUGUGUGCCACUACAGUCAGCUCUUGCAUGUCUACAAUCUAACCAGCAGCCAGAAUGAGUUUUAAAAGUGGAAUAAAUUCAUUCAUCUGCUUAAAAUUCUCUGAUGAAAUCUAAGAAGCUGGGUCAGCUGGUAAUUGUGAUUGCUACACAAUCUGAGUUUGGAUCCCCAGAAACAAGGGCACAAAGAGAACAUGCCUGGAAGAUGAAAGGGGAAGCUCUGAAGAGCAAAGCUGUGUGAUGAACUUAGAGCAGGCUCACCAGAUAUGCUGACAACCAACAUUACAAACAAAGCACUCAGGGUGUCUUUGGUAAGCUUACAGUAGGCAAAUAAAUUAUUUAGAAAAGCAUCUUAGAUUUCUUCUGCCGUGGAAUAAUCCUGUACACUGUGAAAAUGUGUUGCUCUCAUUGUUAAUAAAAAGAUGAUUGGCUAGUAGCCAGGCAGGAAGUACAUAUGAAACAACCAGACUAAGAGGAUGCUGGGACAGGGGAGGGAAGAAGGGUGGAUUCAUGGGAGUCUGAGAGGUCGAGAAUAGAUACAGGAGAAGCUGGAUGGGAA
RNAcentral lists this long non-coding RNA (751 nucleotides) under Cricetulus griseus (Chinese hamster). RNAcentral describes it as "lncRNA (ENSCGRG00015040450.1)". The record is from RNAcentral. Lineage: Eukaryota; Metazoa; Chordata; Mammalia; Rodentia; Cricetidae.